ACGCUCGACACCUACGGGAGCAGCAGUGGGGAAUAUUGCACAAUGGGGGAAACCCUGAUGCAGCGACGCCGCGUGAGUGAAGAAGUAAUUCGUUAUGUAAAGCUCUAUCAGCAGGGAAGAAAGUGACGGUACCUGAGUAAGAAGCCCCGGCUAACUACGUGCCAGCAGCCGCGGUAAUCUGAGCGGGCUGGCAAGGC
Molecule: ribosomal RNA, 197 nt
Filed under: uncultured bacterium
Lineage: Bacteria
Description: partial 16S ribosomal RNA
Rfam family: Bacterial small subunit ribosomal RNA
Source: RNAcentral